RNAcentral lists this unclassified non-coding RNA (408 nucleotides) under soil metagenome. Its description in RNAcentral is "partial contains 5.8S ribosomal RNA, internal transcribed spacer 2, and large subunit ribosomal RNA". The stretch from base 1 to 120 matches the Rfam family "5.8S ribosomal RNA", at positions 35 to 154 of the family's 154-position model. The record is from RNAcentral.
GAUGAAGAACGUAGCGAAACGCGAUAGGUAAUGUGAAUUGCAGAAUUCAGUGAAUCAUCGAAUCUUUGAACGCAUCUUGCGCUUGCUGGUAUUCCGGCAAGCAUGCCUGUUUGAGUGUCAUGAAACUUAUCAACCGUGACUUGGGUUUAGGCCCCUGGCUCGGCUUGGAUUUGGGUGCUUGCGGCCUCGUGCUGCUCACCUUAAAAGGAUUAGCUGGACAUGUCGUGAGACUUGGUUCUACUUGGCGUAAUAAGUAUUUCGCUGAGGACAUCCCCUCGUGGGGUGGCCAAGACUCUAGUGCAAACGUCUGCUUUCUAACCCGAUCGUCCUCGGACAUCACUUUUUAUGAUCUGGCCUCAAAUCAGGUAGGACUACCCGCUGAACUUAAGCAUAUCAAUAAGCGGAGGA